This 468-nucleotide ribosomal RNA is filed under the name uncultured bacterium. RNAcentral's name for it is "partial 16S ribosomal RNA". It matches the Rfam family "Bacterial small subunit ribosomal RNA", at positions 28 to 507 of the family's 1533-position model. The record is from RNAcentral.
GACGAACGCUGGCGGCGUGCUUAACACAUGCCAGUCGAACGGAAAGGCCCUGCUUUUGUGCGGUGGCCGAGUGGCGAACGGGUGAGGAACACGAGAGUAACGUACCCUUUACUUUGGGUUAACUUUACGAAAGUAGGGCUAAUACAGGACAGGAUCUCCUCCUUCAUGGUUGGCGAUGGAGAGUUUCGGCGGAUGGGGAUGGACUCGCGGCUUAUCAGCUUGUUGGUGGGGUAGUGGCUUACCAAAGCUUAGACGGGUAGCCGGCCCGGGAGGGUGACCGGACACAUUAGGCCUGAGCUACGGCCCAGACUCGUACGGGAGGCAACGGUGGAGAGUAUUACACAGUGGGAGGAAGCGUGAUGCGGCACCGCCGCGUGCGGGAUGACGGCCUUCGGGUUGUAAACCGCUUCCGCCUGUUACGAAGCGUGAGUGACGGUAAUGGAUAAAGAAGCACCGGCUAACUACGUG